Small nuclear RNA from Alexandromys fortis (reed vole), 104 nucleotides. Lineage: Eukaryota; Metazoa; Chordata; Mammalia; Rodentia; Cricetidae. The record is from RefSeq and is a predicted model, not a curated record.
AUACUAAAUAAAUAAAAUACUAAUAGAUUGAAAUAAUACAGAGAAGAUUAACAUGGCCCCUGUGCAAGAAUGAUUUGAAAGUUCCUGAAACAUUCCGCAUUUUA